Molecule: transfer RNA, 72 nt
Filed under: Sillago sinica
Lineage: Eukaryota; Metazoa; Chordata; Actinopteri; Sillaginidae
Description: tRNA-Pro
Rfam family: tRNA
About the family: Transfer RNA (tRNA) molecules are approximately 80 nucleotides in length.
Source: RNAcentral
CAAAGGGUAGUUUAAAGCUUAGAAUGCUAGCUUUGGGAGCUUGUGGUGGCGGUUAAAGUCCGCUCUCUUUGA